GCGGGCUCGGGGAAGGGAGGGUGGGUAGGAAGAUGCUCUACACCCCCCACCCCGUGAGAAGUUUGUCCGCAAAGGGCUCUGCGGCCGAGUUUGGGGGGGCUUUUGUCUGUCUCCGCGGGUCCCCACUCCAACGCGCAGGCUUCCGGGGUCUGGGAGCCGCGGGGGUGCCCAAGAGGCGUUUCCCGGCCGCCGCCGCCGGAGCCGGAGCAGCUCGCUCGGCUUCAUUCAUUCCCCGUCGCCGGACCUCGGGGUCCCCUCCUGGCUCCCGAAACCGGAAGGGGAUCCGCGCCGGGGGGGAAGGGGGUGCAGGCGAGGCGGGAUCCGGCCGUGCCGCCGGCGCGCUCGCAAGGAGAAAGGAAGGACACGCGGCGGGCUGGGGCGCGGGAGGCCCGGCCAGUAGCCUCGCGGGGGAUGGACGCCGGGAGUCGGCCCAGAAAAGUAUGUUCUACUCUACACCUCCCAAGUCAGGAUGAACCGUGAGACGCGGAGGUAUCUAGUCAUCUGAUCCAUGGGUACAUUUGUGAACUCCGAGAAGAACCACAAGGAAACUACUUCAAACUCGGAUGGCCACUAAGGAAGGAAGGAUGGAACCUUCCUUCUCUGCCGAGGGUCCCUCCCCUCCCAGCCCAGUCCAGAGGGAUUUCAUCCACCAAGUGCCGGCAAGGCCACCAUGAAGGAAGAUAUAAACCGAGAACAGAUACUGCCAAUUUUUUUUUUAAUCCAGUGCAAGUUUUUAAAAUCCAGUACAAUAUUCUAGAAAUCAAGCCUAGCCUGGUUAUUAGCAAAUUAGUUCAGAAGGUGGAAUCUUCAGAAUCCCAAACAUUUCCAGAAUCCAUGUGUCUGCACAGCAGAGUCUUUCCAGAGAAUUCUGCUGUCCAGCUCCGAGGAAGGAAAAGGCCAGGCCCGGGAGUUGGCAGCUGGCGCUGGGAGGCGGGAGUGCCUGCUGAGCGUGGCCCUCUCUCUGGACUAAGGGCCAUCGGUCAGUCUCUGCACAGGCCAAAGGGAACUGACGAGAUGCAUGAAAGCUGGACGGGCAGUGAGAAAAGUUCUGGAAAGAAAGCCUAGCAAAUGUUUCCCCUUCGCCGAUGUACAGGAAGCUGCUUGCGAUCUGGUCUGUCGUUCCCGCUUCCAGGUGAGAAGCUGAAACGCGGAGAUGUCCAUCUGCCCGCUCAGUCCUUUCGUUCAAGAGUCUGGAGGCAGAGAGAAAGUAUAGCAGUUCAACCCAGGCACCUCAUUUGGUUUCUCAGCGCCCCUCUCCCCCGGGGUCCCUGAGCACUGCCAGUGUGGCCCCCAAACAAGACAAAUAAGGUAGACUCUGAACUCAGA
This is a long non-coding RNA of Sorex araneus (European shrew), 1326 nucleotides long. RefSeq lists it as uncharacterized. The transcript has 3 exons. NCBI's taxonomy places the organism in Eukaryota, Metazoa, Chordata, Mammalia, Eulipotyphla, Soricidae. The record is from RefSeq and is a predicted model, not a curated record.